RNAcentral lists this transfer RNA (84 nucleotides) under Myxococcales bacterium. RNAcentral describes it as "tRNA-Leu". It matches the Rfam family "tRNA". From Rfam's summary of the family: Transfer RNA (tRNA) molecules are approximately 80 nucleotides in length. The record is from RNAcentral. Lineage: Bacteria; Pseudomonadati; Myxococcota; Myxococcia; Myxococcales.
GCCGGAGUGGUGAAACUGGUAGACGCGCCGGACUCAAAAUCCGGUACCCGAGAGGGUGUGUCGGUUCGAGCCCGACCUCCGGUA